UACGUAGGGUCCGAGCGUUGUCCGGAAUUACUGGGCGUAAAGAGCUCGUAGGUGGUUUGUCGCGUUGUUCGUGAAAACUCACAGCUCAACUGUGGGCGUGCGGGCGAUACGGGCGGACUGGAGUACUGCAGGGGAGACUGGAAUUCCUGGUGUAGCGGUGGAAUGCGCAGAUAUCAGGAGGAACACCGGUGGCGAAGGCGGGUCUCUGGGCAGUAACUGACGCUGAGGAGCGAAAGCGUGGGGAGCGAACAGG
This 253-nucleotide ribosomal RNA is filed under the name uncultured bacterium. RNAcentral describes it as "partial 16S ribosomal RNA". It matches the Rfam family "Bacterial small subunit ribosomal RNA", at positions 524 to 776 of the family's 1533-position model. The record is from RNAcentral.